UACGUAGGGGGCAAGCGUUGUCCGGAAUUAUUGGGCGUAAAGGGCUCGUAGGCGGUUUGUCGCGUCGGGAGUGAAAACUCAGGGCUUAACCCUGAGCCUGCUUCCGAUACGGGCAGACUAGAGGUAUGCAGGGGAGAAUGGAAUUCCUGGUGUAGCGGUGAAAUGCGCAGAUAUCAGGAGGAACACCGGUGGCGAAGGCGGUUCUCUGGGCAUUACCUGACGCUGAGGAGCGAAAGUGUGGGGGGCGAACAGG
Molecule: ribosomal RNA, 253 nt
Filed under: uncultured bacterium
Lineage: Bacteria
Description: partial 16S ribosomal RNA
Rfam family: Bacterial small subunit ribosomal RNA
Source: RNAcentral